This 478-nucleotide ribosomal RNA is filed under the name uncultured bacterium. RNAcentral describes it as "bacterial SSU rRNA". It matches the Rfam family "Bacterial small subunit ribosomal RNA", at positions 30 to 502 of the family's 1533-position model. The record is from RNAcentral.
AUUGAACGCUGGCGGCAGGCCUUACACAUGCAAGUCGAGCGCGAAAGUACUUCGGUAUGAGUAGAGCGGCGGACGGGUGAGUAACGCGUAGAAAUCUGCCCAGUAGUGGGGGACAACAUGGUGAAAACCAUGCUAAUACCGCAUACGCCCUACGGGGGAAAGCAGGGGAUCUUCGGACCUUGCGCUAUUGGAUGAGUCUGCGUCGGAUUAGAUUGUUGGUGGGGUAACGGCCUACCAAGUCGACGAUCCGUAGCUGGUCUGAGAGGACGAUCAGCCACACUGGAACUGAGACACGGUCCAGACUCCUACGGGAGGCAGCAGUGGGGAAUAUUGCACAAUGGGCGAAAGCCUGAUGCAGCCAUGCCGCGUGUGUGAAGAAGGCUCUAGGGUUGUAAAGCACUUUUUCAAUAGCGAGGAAAAGCUGGCAGUUAAUACCUGUCAGCCCUGACGUUAACUAUAGAAGAAGCACCGGCUAACU